UGUCAUGUGAUGAAGCCUCUAGGAAUGUGUCUAACCAAAAUUGGCAACCCUACUGUUACAUAGACAUUUUCUGCAAAAGUUUUCAUGGCAAAAAAGCAACUUUCCAUCCAAAUGGAGUUUCAGUGGGAAAACUGUGACCAGUCCUAGCCUUGAAUAAUAGACCCAAGUCUGUUGGGAAACAUUUCUGCACCAGUGAGCUGAUGGACCAAGUGAUGCUACCAGACAGUCAAGUUUUCAAACCUUCCCCCACUUUGGAAAACUUACACAAUGCCCAAAGGAUGAAGGAAACUUGCUAUGCGGCUACUGCGGGGAAAGUCCUUAGCCUGUAGUUCAAUACCAUUGGCAUCGCCUCAGGAGGGAGGCAGGGACUAGCUGUGGUCUCUGUCCUGAUUCCCUUUGGCACCACAAGAGGUCCGCCCUGGCCAGCUAUGGGUCAGACCUGAAAUAAGAGGACAGUGCUG
This is a long non-coding RNA of Mauremys reevesii (Reeves's turtle), 461 nucleotides long. RefSeq lists it as uncharacterized. The transcript has 3 exons. The record is from RefSeq and is a predicted model, not a curated record. Lineage: Eukaryota; Metazoa; Chordata; Testudines; Geoemydidae.